This 580-nucleotide unclassified non-coding RNA is filed under the name Borreliella burgdorferi (Lyme disease spirochete). Its description in RNAcentral is "partial 16S-23S intergenic spacer". The stretch from base 49 to 122 matches the Rfam family "tRNA". Lineage: Bacteria; Pseudomonadati; Spirochaetota; Spirochaetia; Spirochaetales; Borreliaceae. The record is from RNAcentral.
UAAUAUUAAAGAGCUUUGUUAAACCUAGACUUAAGUUUGGGUCAUUUUGGGGGUUUAGCUCAGUUGGCUAGAGCAUCGGCUUUGCAAGCCGAGGGUCAAGGGUUCGAGUCCCUUAACCUCCAUUGGGCUUAUGUCCUAAAUUGUAAUUAAGUAUGUUUUUAAGCAGCUUUGUUAAAGUAAUUGUUAGAAUGUGAAACAGAGGAAGUUAAAAUUUCUGGGUUAAGUUGAGAUCUGUUGAUAUUAAGAAGAAUCUCUAGAAGCAAAAGCAAGCUUUCGAUAAAACCCGAAGUUGUUUCGCUAAAGUGCAAGGAUUAAACAGGAUUGUAUUUUCCAGCAGCCUAUUUUAUAAACGAUCUGCAUUUAGUAAAUAGUUUUUAGUUAAGAAAUAAUGUAGAUUGCUAAGUGUGAUGUCUGAAAGAAGGACAAGUAUUUUAGCGAGCCUAAAUCCUUGUUAUCGUUGCCAGUAUUUAGUGGUAGGGAUUCGGACAAGACUGCCAUUUAUAAGUUGGAGGAAGGCAAAGAUUGCAUUAAAUCGUUAUCGCUCUUAUGUUUUAGGUUACAAGUUUGCCACAAUAACCCA